UCCGUAGGGUGAACCUGCGGAGGGAUCAUUACCGAGUUUACAACUCCCAAACCCAAUGUGAACCAUACCAAACUGUUGCCUCGGCGGGGGCACGCCCCGGGUGCGUCGCAGCCCCGGAACCAGGCGCCCGCCGGAGGGACCAACCAAACUCUUUUCUGUAGUCCCCUCGCGGACGUUAUUUCUUACAGCUCUGAGCAAAAAUUCAAAAUGAAUCAAAACUUUCAACAACGGAUCUCUUGGUUCUGGCAUCGAUGAAGAACGCAGCGAAAUGCGAUAAGUAAUGUGAAUUGCAGAAUUCAGUGAAUCAUCGAAUCUUUGAACGCACAUUGCGCCCGCCAGUAUUCUGGCGGGCAUGCCUGUCCGAGCGUCAUUUCAACCCUCGAACCCCUCCGGGGGGUCGGCGUUGGGGACCUCGGGAGCCCCUAAGACGGGAUCCCGGCCCCGAAAUACAGUGGCGGUCUCGCCGCAGCCUCUCCUGCGCAGUAGUUUGCACAACUCGCACCGGGAGCGCGGCGCGUCCACGUCCGUAAAACACCCAACUUUCUGAAAUGUUGACCUCGGAUCAGGUAGGAAUACCCGCUGAACUUAAGCAUAUCAAUAA
This 601-nucleotide ribosomal RNA is filed under the name Trichoderma atroviride. RNAcentral describes it as "eukaryotic LSU rRNA". The stretch from base 217 to 370 matches the Rfam family "5.8S ribosomal RNA". The record is from RNAcentral. Lineage: Eukaryota; Fungi; Ascomycota; Sordariomycetes; Hypocreales; Hypocreaceae.